RNAcentral lists this ribosomal RNA (273 nucleotides) under uncultured bacterium. RNAcentral describes it as "partial 16S ribosomal RNA". It matches the Rfam family "Bacterial small subunit ribosomal RNA", at positions 524 to 796 of the family's 1533-position model. The record is from RNAcentral.
UACGAACUGUGCGAACGUUAUUCGGAAUCACUGGGCUUACAGGGUGCGUAGGCGGCUAUUCAGGUCAGGUGUGAAAGCCCCCGGCUCAACCGGGGAACUGCGCUUGAAACCGAAUGGCUCGAGUCAGCUAGAGGGACACGGAACUUCCAGUGGAGCGGUGAAAUGUGUUGAUAUUGGAAGGAACACCGGAGGCGAAAGCGGUGUCCUGGGGCUGGUCUGACGCUGAGGCACGAAAGCCAGGGGAGCGAACGGGAUUAGAAACCCCGGUAGUCC